CCCCAAAAACGAAAAGUGUGAUUGGGGUUACCCAAAGUGUUCAUAUUUGGACUGGGGUAGGUGAGUAAUGUCCCCUUUUAGAAAGGAGAGGGCAAGGCUGGUGCCAGCCGCCGCCCUUUAACCAGCUCUUCAAGUGGUCGGGAUAAUUAUUGGGCUUAAAGUGUCCGUAGCCGGUUUAGUUAGUUCCUGGUAAAAUCGGGUAGCUUAACUAUCUGUAUGCUAGGAAUACUGCUAUACUAGAGGGCGGGAGAGGUCUGAGGUACUACAGGGGUAGGGGUGAAAUCUUAUAAUCCUUGUAGGACCACCAGUGGCGAAGGCGUCAGACUGGAACGCGCCUGACGGUGAGGGACGAAAGCCAGGGGAGCGAACCGGAUUAGAUACCCGGGUAGUCCUGGCCGUAAACGAUGCAUACUAGGUGAUGGCACGGCUAUGAGCCGUGUCAGUGCCGUAGGGAAACCGUUAAGUGUGCCGCCUGGGAAGUACGGUCGCAAGGCUAAAACUUAAAGGAAUUGGCGGGGGA
Molecule: ribosomal RNA, 520 nt
Filed under: uncultured archaeon
Lineage: Archaea
Description: bacterial SSU rRNA
Rfam family: Archaeal small subunit ribosomal RNA
Source: RNAcentral